GGGAAUUUUGGACAAUGGGGGCAACCNUGAUCCAGCAAUGCCGCGUGUGUGAAGAAGGCCUUCGGGUUGUAAAGCACUUUUGUCCGGAAAGAAAACCGCUUCUCUAAUACAGAGGCGGGAUGACGGUACCGGAAGAAUAAGCACCGGCUAANUACGUGCCAGCAGCCGCGGUAAUACGUAGGGUGCAAGCGUUAAUCGGAAUUACUGGGCGUAAAGCGUGCGCNGGCGGUUCGNUAAGACNGAUGUGAAAUCCCCGGGCUUAACCUGGGAACUGCAUUGGUGACNGGCGGGNUAGAGUAUGGCAGAGGGGGGUAGAAUUCCACGUGUAGCAGUGAAAUGCGUAGAGAUGUGGAGGAAUACCGAUGGCGAAGGCAGCCCCCUGGGCCAAUANUGACGCUCAUGCACGAAAGCGUGGGGAGCAAACAGGAUUAGAUACCCUGGUAGUCCACGCCCUAAACGAUGUCAACUAGUUGUCGGGU
This 479-nucleotide ribosomal RNA is filed under the name Burkholderia sp. enrichment culture DGGE gel band 9. Its description in RNAcentral is "bacterial SSU rRNA". It matches the Rfam family "Bacterial small subunit ribosomal RNA", at positions 357 to 828 of the family's 1533-position model. Lineage: Bacteria; Pseudomonadati; Pseudomonadota; Betaproteobacteria; Burkholderiales; Burkholderiaceae. The record is from RNAcentral.